AAUGGGCGAAAGCCUGACGGAGCAACGCCGCGUGAGUGAUGAAGGUCUUCGGAUCGUAAAACUCUGUUAUCAGGGAAGAACAAAUGUGUAAGUAACUGUGCACAUCUUGACGGUACCUGAUCAGAAAGCCACGGCUAACUACGUGCCAGCAGCCGCGGUAAUACGUAGGUGGCAAGCGUUAUCCGGAAUUAUUGGGCGUAAAGCGCGCGUAGGCGGUUUUUUAAGUCUGAUGUGAAAGCCCACGGCUCAACCGUGGAGGGUCAUUGGAAACUGGAAAACUUGAGUGCAGAAGAGGAAAGUGGAAUUCCAUGUGUAGCGGUGAAAUGCGCAGAGAUAUGGAGGAACACCAGUGGCGAAGGCGACUUUCUGGUCUGUAACUGACGCUGAUGUGCGAAAGCGUGGGGAUCAAACAGGAUUAGAUACCCUGGUAGUCCACGCCG
This 440-nucleotide ribosomal RNA is filed under the name uncultured bacterium. RNAcentral describes it as "bacterial SSU rRNA". It matches the Rfam family "Bacterial small subunit ribosomal RNA", at positions 370 to 802 of the family's 1533-position model. The record is from RNAcentral.